This 18-nucleotide non-coding RNA is filed under the name Arabidopsis thaliana (thale cress). The record is from RNAcentral. Lineage: Eukaryota; Viridiplantae; Streptophyta; Magnoliopsida; Brassicales; Brassicaceae.
GCAAAUGCUUUCUACAGG